RNAcentral lists this small nucleolar RNA (66 nucleotides) under Drosophila ananassae. Its description in RNAcentral is "snoRNA:GF26123". The record is from RNAcentral. Lineage: Eukaryota; Metazoa; Arthropoda; Insecta; Diptera; Drosophilidae.
UCUAUGAUGUUACUUCAUAGUAUAGUUCAUUAGAAUUCAACAUGUUACAAACUUUUUGAAGCUGAU